CCAAUAGCGUAUAUUAAAGUUGUUGCAGUUAAAAAGCUCGUAGUUGAAUUUUGGGAUCAGUGCGCCGGUCGUGUCUUCGGUAUGCACUGGUGUCACUGGUUCCUCCCUUCUGACGAACCAUCAUGCCAGUCACUUGGUGUGGCGGGAAAUCAGGACUGUGACUUUGAAAAAAUUAUAGUGUUUAAAGCAGGCUCACGCUUGAACACAUUAGCAUGGUAUAAUGAAAUAGGACGUUGAUCUUAUUUUGUUGGUUUCUAGGAUUGACGUAAUGAUUAAUAGGGAUAGUUGGGGGCAUUAGUAUUCAAUUGUCAGAGGUGAAAUUCUUGGAUUUAUUGAAGACUAACUACUGCGAAAGCAUUUGCCAAGGAUGUUUUCAUUAAUCAAGAACGAAAGUUAGGGGAUCGAAGACGAUCAGAUACCGUCGUAGUCUUAACCAUAAACUAUGCCGACUAGGGAUCGGAUGAUGUUAAUUUUUUAAUGACUCAUUCGGCACCUUACG
Molecule: ribosomal RNA, 499 nt
Filed under: uncultured Glomeromycotina
Lineage: Eukaryota; Fungi; Glomeromycota
Description: partial small subunit ribosomal RNA
Rfam family: Eukaryotic small subunit ribosomal RNA
Source: RNAcentral